Molecule: long non-coding RNA, 1443 nt
Filed under: Marmota monax (woodchuck)
Lineage: Eukaryota; Metazoa; Chordata; Mammalia; Rodentia; Sciuridae
Source: RNAcentral
GUCUUAUAUUUAUCAUCUACAUUUUAUCCUAAAUAGUAAAUAACACACAACUUUAUAAUAGUUUACUAUUGGUAUAAUACAAGCCAAAAAAUUAGAUAAAUUAGACUUCAUCAAACUAAAAAUUUUUGUGCUUCAAAGGAUGCUAUCAAGAAACUGAAAAGACCUACCAUAGAAUAGGAGGAAAUACUUGAAAAUCAUAUAUCUGGUAGGAAACUAUUAAGGUUUGUAUAGUAAAUGUUCUUCAGAGGCUUAUGUGUUGAACAUUUGGUCAGUAGUUGAUGGUGCUAUUGGAAGGUAGUGAAAUCUUUAGGAGAUAGGACCUGGUAGGAGGAAGUUAGGUCAUUGGGGGUCAUGACCUUGAAGGGUAUAUUGGGACUUUGGCCCCUCCCUCUCCUUCUUUGCUUCCUGGCCAUCUUGAAGUGAACAGUUUUCUCUGUCACCAUGAUGUUCUCCUCAUCACAGGCCCCCAGAACAAUGAAGCUAAAACCUACCAACUGAUACCUCUGAAGCCAUGAGUCAAAGUUAAUCUUUCCUCCUUUUUUUUUCCUCCUCAGGUAUUCUGUUACAGCAAUGGAAAGCUGACUGUCACAGAGACUUAUGUCCAGAGUACAUGUGAACUCUUACAACUCAAUAAUAAAAAAAUAUAUAGCCCAAUAUAAAAAAUAGGAAAAAAGAUCUGAAUAGACAUUUCUCCAAGCAAGUUAUACAAUAGCAANACAGACAAGUCUAUAAAGACAAAAGGUAGAUUCGUGGUUUCCAGGGGUGGAUUUGGGAGCAUAGCUAAAGAGCCUGGGGUUUCUUUUUGAGGUUAUGAAAAUGUUCUAAAAUUGUGAGUUUCACAUAUCUGUGAAUAUACUAAACACCAUCAAAUUGUACAUUUCAAAAAGAUAAAUUGUACACUAUGCAAAUUCUGUCUCAAUAAAAUUAUUUAAAAAUAUAUAGAUGGGUUGGGAGUGAGGCUCAGUGGUCCUUGGUUCAAUCACCAGCACCAAUGAUAAAAAUAAUAAUAAUAAUAACAGUAAGGAAGAAAAAUCUUAUUUUUUAAACACUGGGAAGGAAAUUAUCAUGAUGAUAUGUUGGGGGUGGUUGAUAGGUGAGAUUUUGGUAAGAGGCAGGUGCUUAUCCCAUGGAUUUGCAAGGUGCCUCUCAUGACUGCGAAGUUAUGAAUCAUUAGUUGAUACUGCUAGGGUAGAACCUGCCCUAAAAAUACUGACUCUUUAGAAACCAAACUACUUGAGUUCAUGUAAAAAUUAAAAGCAAAAUGCAUCCUGAUGUAAAUUGAGUUUUUGGAUUAAUUAAAAAUAUUGGAGAAUUAAAAAUUUUUUCCCUUGCAAUUUUUCUUCAAUGUGUAGGAACAAGAACACAAAUUUAACAUGUUCUAAUGCAUUUUUAAUAAAAUUAUAAACUGAUUCAUUAUCCAGUCUGAGUUUUUUAGAUGUUGAC